RNAcentral lists this ribosomal RNA (667 nucleotides) under Alexandrium tamarense. RNAcentral describes it as "eukaryotic LSU rRNA". It matches the Rfam family "Eukaryotic large subunit ribosomal RNA", at positions 43 to 651 of the family's 3401-position model. Lineage: Eukaryota; Dinophyceae; Gonyaulacales; Pyrocystaceae. The record is from RNAcentral.
UAAGUAAGUGGUGGAAAUUAAACCAAAUGGGAUAUCUUUAGUAAUUGCGAAUGAACAAGGAUAUGCUUAGCUUGACAAAUGGAGCUAUUGGCUUUGAAUUGUAUUGUGGAAAUGUAUUACCAACAGAGGUGCAGGUGCCAGCCUAUUGAAAUAAAGCGUCAAUGAGGGUGAGAAUCCUGUUUGUCAUGUGCAGCCCUUUGUGCACGGUGUAUAUUUGCUGAGUCACACUCCUUGGCAUUGGAAUGCAAAGUGGGUGGUAAGUUUCAUGUAAAGGUAAACAUGCAAUUGAGACUGAUAGCACACAAGUACCAUGAGGGAAAUAUGAAAAAGGACUUUGAAAAGAGAAUUAAAUGAGUUUGUAUUUGCUGAACACAAAGUAAACAGACUUGAUUUGCUUGGUGGGAGUGUUGCACUUGCUUGACAAGAGCUUUGGGCUGUGGGUGUAAUGAUUCUUUCUUUGCAUGCCAGUUUCUAUUUGUACAUCUGAUUACCUUUGCACAUGAAUGAUAAGUCUCCUGUGGGGGGUGGAUUGCAUGUGCAUGUAAUGAUUUGUGUUUUGAUAAAUGUGUCUGGUGUAUGUGUGUGUUCCUGUGCUUGGGGAUGCUUCCUUCCUUGGACUUACAAGCCCUGACACACACAUGCUGGCAAAAUGCUUCUGCUUGACCCG